CCUACGGGUGGCAGCAGUGGGGAAUAUUGGGCAAUGGGCGCAAGCCUGACCCAGCAACGCCGCGUGAAGGAAGAAGGCUUUCGGGUUGUAAACUUCUUUUGUCAGGGAAGAGUAUAAGACGGUACCUGACGAAUAAGCCACGGCUAACUACGUGCCAGCGGCCGCGGUAAAACGUAGGUGGCAAGCGUUGUCCGGAUUUACUGGGUGUAAAGGGCGUGUAGCCGGGUUGACAAGUCAGAUAUGAAAUCCUGCGGCUUAACCGCAGAACUGCAUUUGAAACUGUUGAUCUUGAGUACUGGAGAGGCAGAUGGAAUUCCUAGUGUAGCGGUGAAAUGCGUAGAUAUUAGGAGGAACACCAGUGGCGAAGGCGGUCUGCUGGACAGCAACUGACGGUGAGGCGCGAAAGCGUGGGGAGCAAACAGGAUUAGAUACCCGUGUAGUC
RNAcentral lists this ribosomal RNA (442 nucleotides) under uncultured bacterium. RNAcentral's name for it is "partial 16S ribosomal RNA". It matches the Rfam family "Bacterial small subunit ribosomal RNA", at positions 338 to 795 of the family's 1533-position model. The record is from RNAcentral.